Molecule: ribosomal RNA, 253 nt
Filed under: uncultured bacterium
Lineage: Bacteria
Description: partial 16S ribosomal RNA
Rfam family: Bacterial small subunit ribosomal RNA
Source: RNAcentral
UACGUAGGCAGCAAGCGUUGUUCGGAGUUACUGGGCGUAAAGAGUGCGUAGGCGGUUCUCUAAGUUCGGUGUGAAAUCUCCCGGCUCAACUGGGAGGGUGCGCCGAAGACUGGAGGGCUUGAGUGUGGGAGAGGAAAGCGGAAUUCCUGGUGUAGCGGUGAAAUGCGUAGAUAUCAGGAGGAACACCUGCGGUGUAGACGGCUUUCUAGACCACAACUGACGCUGAGGCACGAAAGCGUGGGUAGCAAACAGG